AUACGUAGGGGGCAAGCGUUGUCCGGAAUUACUGGGCGUAAAGGGCGCGUAGGCGGCCAUAUAAGUCAGAUGUGAAAGUCCAGGGCUCAACCGUGGAAUUGCAUUUGAAACUGUAUGGCUUGAGUGCAGGAGAGGAGAGCGGAAUUCCUAGUGUAGCGGUGAAAUGCGUAGAUAUUAGGAAGAACACCAGUGGCGAAGGCGGCUCUCUGGACUGUAACUGACGCUGAGGCGCGAAAGCGUGGGUAGCGAACAGGAUUAGAUACCCUGGUAGUCCACGCCGUAAACGAUGUGCACUAGGAGGUGGGUAGCAGUAUUCACUUCCGUAGCUAACGCGAUAAGUGCACCGCCUGGGGAGUAUGCUCGCAAGGGUGAA
RNAcentral lists this ribosomal RNA (373 nucleotides) under uncultured bacterium. Its description in RNAcentral is "bacterial SSU rRNA". It matches the Rfam family "Bacterial small subunit ribosomal RNA", at positions 523 to 898 of the family's 1533-position model. The record is from RNAcentral.